AUGGGAUGCCCCAUUAAUCCCUGUGGGAUCCCCCAUGGUCCCAUCCCUUUGGGAUCCCCCAUUAAUCCCUUUGGGAUCCCAAACUCCAUGGUCCUAUUCCAUUGGAUCCCAUUGGGAUCCCAAAAUCCAUGGUCCUAUUCCAUUGGAUCCCAUUGGGAUCCCCCAAAGAUCCUGUUCCAUUGGAUCCCAUUGGGAUCCCCCAAAGAUCCUGUUCCAUUGGAUCCCAUUGGGAUCCCAAAAUUCAUGGUCCUAUUCCAUUGGAUCCCAUUGGGAUCCCCCAUUAAUCCCUUUGGGAUCCCCCAUUAA
This 306-nucleotide long non-coding RNA is filed under the name Coturnix japonica (Japanese quail). RNAcentral describes it as "lncRNA (ENSCJPG00005002299.1)". The record is from RNAcentral. Lineage: Eukaryota; Metazoa; Chordata; Aves; Galliformes; Phasianidae.